Non-coding RNA from Musa acuminata subsp. malaccensis (wild Malaysian banana), 2674 nucleotides. Lineage: Eukaryota; Viridiplantae; Streptophyta; Magnoliopsida; Zingiberales; Musaceae. The record is from RefSeq and is a predicted model, not a curated record.
AUGCAGCUACGAAAUGCUCGACGAAUACACGGAAGAAACUUAUGCGCGAAACCUCGCCCAUGUCCGCUUCCGACGGCUCAGGAUGCAUGGUUGAACGGCGGAUCUCAACCGCUUGAGAAAGCAGAUCAUUCUUCACUGAGCGGUUCGUCACUCUUCCGCUUCGGCGUCUAUAAAAUUGGCCUCCCUUCUCCCGCCUCGUUAUCUCGCCUUCUUUCCCAUUUAUCAUCUCGUUCGUUCUUGGACCUCGAUCUUAAUGGCGAACCCAGGCGGGUCUUCUGCUUCCGAUGCGGAAAAAAGAGGAGGGAUACAAUUUGCAUUGCUCUAGCUGAUGAUACAUGUGAUGAACCAAAGAUCAAGAUGAAUAAGGUUGUUAGACUGAAUCUCAGAGUGAGGCUGGGAAAUAUUAUCUCAGUCCAUCAGUGCCAAUAUGUAAGUGUGUGAAGUGUGUUCGUAUUCUUCCUAUUGAUGACACAAUCUAAGGAGUUACAGAAAACCUCUUUGAUGCAUAUUUGAAGUCAUAUUUUCUGGAGGCAUACGCCCUGUUAGAAAAGGGGAUCUUUUCCUUGUCCGAGGAGGUAUGAGGAGUAUUGAAUUUAAAGUUAAGGAAACCGAUCCUGCAGAGUAUUGUAUUGUUGCUGCUGACACAGAUUUUCUGUGAGGGGGAACCUGUAAAAAGGGAGUAUGAGGACAGACUUGAUGAGGUGGGUUAUGAUGAUGUUGGAGGAGCUAGGAAACUAAUGGCUCAAAUAAGAGAGCUAGUAGAGCUACCUCUUAGACACCCUCAAUUGUUCAAGUCAAUUGGUGUCAAACCACCGAAAGGUAUUUUGUUUUAUGGACCGCCUGGUUCUGGGAAGAUGCUGAUAGCUAGGGUGGUUGCAAAUGAGAUGGGAGCCUUUUUCUUCUGCAUUAAUGGUCCAGAGAUCAUGGCAAAGCUAGCUGGUGAACAUGAGAACAAUUUGAGAAGGCUUUUGAAGAAGCAGAGAAAAAUGCACCAUCAAUUAUUUCUAUCGAUGAGAUCGAUUCCAUUGCUCCUAAGAGAGAAAAGACUAAUGGAUAAGUUGAGAGACGUAUAGUGUCUCAAUUGCUGACGCUGAUGAAUGGGCUAAAACAGUAUUGAUCCAGCUCUUAGAAUAUUUGGUAGGUUUGUUUGAGAAAUUGACAUUGGAGUUCCAGAUGAAGUAGGUCGCUUGGAGGUUCUUUGAAUCCAUACUAAGAACAUGAAGUUAGCUGAAGAUGUUGAUUUAGAAGGGAUAGCUAAGGACACUCGUGGGUAUGUUGGAGCUGACCUUGCCACUUUAUGCACUGAGGCAGCUCUCCAGUGUAGACGUGAGAAGAUGGGCAUAAUAUAUUUAGAGGAUGAAUCGAUUGAUGCUGAGAUUCUCAACUCAAUGGCUGUUACAAACGAACAUUUUAAGACUGCUCUUGGAUCAAGUAAUCCAUCUGCACUCCGUGAAACUGUUGUUGAAGUGCCAAAUGUUACCUGGUAUGAUAUUGGUGGGUUGGACAAUGUUAAGAGGGAGCUGCAAGAGACUGUGCAAUAUCUGGUUGAGCAUCCUGAGAAGUUUGAAAAGUUUGGGAUGUCCCCCUUCAAGGGAGUAUUGUUUUAUGGACCGCCCGGUCGUGGAAAGACCUUGUUAGCUACGGCCAUUGCUAAUGAAUGCCAAGUGAAUUUCAUCAGUGUCAAAGGUCCUGAAUUAUUGACUAUGUGGUUUGGUGAGAGUGAAGCAAAUGUGUGUGAAAUCUUUGACAAGGCUUCGUCAAUCUGUGCCCUGUGUUCUCUUUUCUGAUGAGCUUGACUCCACUGCAACCCAGAGAGGCAGCACUGUUGGCGAUGCAGGAGGUGCUGCUGAUAGGGUUCUUAAUCAGCUACUGACACAGAUGGAUGGCAUGAAUGGCAAGAAAACAGUGUUCAUUAUUGGGGCAACUAAAAUGCCUGACAUUAUAGAUCCUGUUUUGCUUAAGCCAGGCCGUCUUGACCAAUUGAUUUAUAUACCUUUACCAGAUAAGGCCUCUCGAUACCAAAUAUUUAAAGCUUGCUUGAGGAAGUCUUCUGUGUCUAAAGAUGUUAACUUGAGGGCUCUUGCCAAGUACUCUCAAGGAUUUAGUGGUGCAGAUAUUACAGAUAUUUGCCAACAUGCAUGCAAUUUUGCCAUUAGAGAAAACAUUGAAAAGGAUAUCGAAAGAGAAAGACGGAAAAGUGAGAAUCCUGAAGCAAUGGAGCAAGAUGAGGCUGAUGAAGUACCAGAGAUCAAAGCUGCUCAUUUUGAAGAAUCAAUGAAGUUUGCUCGUCGGAGUGUCAGUGUUGCAGACAUCCGGAAGUACCAGGCUAUUGCACAGACCUUGCAGCAGACAUCACACUGUGGCACUAUGGAGAUCUUUCAUGUUUACUAGAUCUCAUUCGGGACUCAAGAAACGAAUUUGAUGGUGAAGGUUCUGAAGAAUUCAAUGGUAUGGUUGCUCGCCAGUGAUUUGUUCAAUGUUCUGACUUAAUUGUUACCAUGUCCAAGGUAAAUCUUUUCAGCUCUGUUCCAAAUUAUCGCUUUCAUAUAUCAAGCUAAACCUUUUUGACUGGAUAUUAAAGUCCAGUCACACGUAAAUUAAAUACUAGAAAGCGACAGGUUUCCUGCAUUCUUCAAUGCAAGAUGUACUUGUGUGUCUCAAGGUUGUUGCUAUU